CCCUGGUAGUCCACGCCGUAAACGAUGAAUACUAGGUGUGGGGGUUUCAACACCUCCGUGCCGCCGCUAACGCAUUAAGUAUUCCGCCUGGGGAGUACGGUCGCAAGAUUAAAACUCAAAGGAAUUGACGGGGACCCGCACAAGUAGCGGAGCAUGUGGUUUAAUUCGAAGCAACGCGAAGAACCUUACCUACACUUGACAUCCCUUGCAUUACUCUUAAUCGAGGAAAUCCCUUCGGGGACAAGGUGACAGGUGGUGCAUGGUUGUCGUCAGCUCGUGUCGUGAGAUGUUGGGUUAAGUCCCGCAACGAGCGCAACCCUUGUCGUUAGUUACUACCAUUAAGUUGAGGACUCUAGCGAGACUGCCUGGGUUAACCAGGAGGAAGGUGGGGAUGACGUCAAAUCAUCAUGCCCCUUAUGUGUAGGGCUACACACGUGCUACAAUGGCUGGUACAGAGAGAUGCAAUACCGCGAGGUGGAGCCAAACUUAAAAACCAGUCUCAGUUCGGAUUGUAGGCUGAAACUCGCCUACAUGAAGCUGGAGUUACUAGUAAUCGCGAAUCAGAAUGUCGCGGUGAAUACGUUCCCGGGUCUUGUACACACCGCCCGUCACACCAUGAGAGUUGGCAAUACCCGAAGUCCGUGAGCUAACCGCAAGGAGGCAGCGGCCGAAGGUAGGGUCAGCGAUUGGGGUGAAGUCGUAACAAGGUAGCCGUAGGAGAACCUGCGGCUGGAUCACCUCCUUU
Molecule: ribosomal RNA, 745 nt
Filed under: Clostridium perfringens
Lineage: Bacteria; Bacillati; Bacillota; Clostridia; Eubacteriales; Clostridiaceae
Description: bacterial SSU rRNA
Rfam family: Bacterial small subunit ribosomal RNA
Source: RNAcentral